CUGGUUGAUCCUGCCAGACCCGACUGCUAUCGGAUUGGGACUAAGCCAUGCGAGUCGACUCCGCAAGGGGUGGCGCACGGCUCAGUAACACGUAGUCAACCUACCCUGGGGACGGGGAUAACCUCGGGAAACUGGGGCUAAACCCCGAUGGGCCAUGGCUCCUGGAAUGGGCUAUGGCUGAAAUCUACAUGGCCCCAGGAUGGGACUGCGGCCGAUCAGGUUGUUGGUGGGGUAAUGGCCCACCAAGCCUAUAACCGGUGCGGGCUCUGAGAGGAGGAGCCCGGAGAUAGGCACUGAGACAAGGGCCCAGGUCCUAUGGGGCGCAGCAGGCGCGAAACCUCCGCAAUGGGCGAAAGCCCGACGGGGUCAGUCCGAGUGGUUCCCGCUGAGGGAACCUUUUGCCAGCUGUAAACAGGCUGGCGAAUAAGGGGUGGGCAAGUUUGGUGUCAGCCGCCGCGGUAAUACCAGCACCCCGAGUGGUCGGGACGAUUAUUGGGCCUAAAGCAUCCGUAGCCGGCCCAGUAAGUCCUCCGUUAAAUCCAACGGCUCAACCGUUGGGCUGCGGGGGAUACUGCUGGGCUAGGGGACGGGAGAGGCGAGGGGUAUUCCCGGGGUAGGGGUAAAAUCCACUGAUCCCGGGAGGACCACCAGUGGCGAAGGCGCCUCGCUAGAACGUGCCCGACGGUGAGGGAUGAAAGCUGGGGGAGCGAACCGGAUUAGAUACCCGGGUAGUCCCAGCCGUAAACGAUGUAGGCUCGGUGUUGGGCUGCCUCAGUGGCAGCCCAGUGCCGCAGGGAAGCCGUUAAGCCUACCGCCUGGGGAGUACGGCCGCAAGGCUGAAACUUAAAGGAAUUGGCGGGGGAGCACCAC
This 870-nucleotide ribosomal RNA is filed under the name uncultured archaeon. RNAcentral describes it as "bacterial SSU rRNA". It matches the Rfam family "Archaeal small subunit ribosomal RNA", at positions 4 to 882 of the family's 1478-position model. The record is from RNAcentral.